RNAcentral lists this non-coding RNA (71 nucleotides) under human gut metagenome. RNAcentral describes it as "Cyclic di-GMP-I riboswitch". It matches the Rfam family "c-di-GMP-I riboswitch aptamer". Rfam says of the family: GEMM was predicted in a large-scale screen for bacterial structured RNA regulatory elements. Genes associated with GEMM are involved in a diverse array of functions, including chemotaxis regulation, signal transduction, secretion and chitin. The record is from RNAcentral.
UUUAAUGGGCAAAGCCGGGGAAACACGGUGACGCAAAGCUACAGGGCCUGUAAAAUGGCAGCCAGCUGCAA